Molecule: long non-coding RNA, 452 nt
Filed under: Felis catus (domestic cat)
Lineage: Eukaryota; Metazoa; Chordata; Mammalia; Carnivora; Felidae
Description: lncRNA (ENSFCAG00000041669.2)
Source: RNAcentral
AUACAAUCUGGUAUUGUGCACCAUUAAAAAGAAAAAAUAGUAAUAUGACCAAUUCUCCUAGGCUCAGUAAAGAUCCCAGUCUGUAUCUACAGAAACUCUGGCAAGAACCUUCUAUGAAAGAUGGGUUUCUAGGGGAAUACAUCACGAUGGCAGACCUAUUCAAACUUCUAAGUUUCGCAUUCUGCUUUUAUGGGUUUUCUAUCACCUCCCUCAUCAGCAAAUUAUCAACACUCACUUCGCUCCGCUGACAGUGUUCCUGCCUGUGGCAUUCCUAUCUCCUUCUUAUGUUCUGUUUUAAAUGCACUCUGAGCUGAGACAUUAGGUAGUACGUUAUAGUGACAUUGGCUGUAUAUUUCCUUGAAACAUACGAACCUUUCCAUUCACAUGUGUUCUAUAUUCUAUCAUUUUACUGUGAAUACAUUGAGUUAGAUUACUGUUGGCUUACUGAUUAC